CGAAGCAACGCGAAGAACCUUACCAGGCCUUGACAUGCAGAGAACUUUCCAGAGAUGGAUUGGUGCCUUCGGGAACUCUGACACAGGUGCUGCAUGGCUGUCGUCAGCUCGUGUCGUGAGAUGUUGGGUUAAGUCCCGCAACGAGCGCAACCCUUGCCUUUAGUUGCCAGCAGUUCGGCUGGGCACUCUAAAGGGACUGCCGGUGUUAAACCGGAGGAAGGUGGGGAUGACGUCAAGUCCUCAUGGCCUUUAUGACCAGGGCUACACACGUACUACAAUGGCCGAUACAAAGGGCAGCGACACUGCGAGGUGAAGCCAAUCCCGUAAAAUCGGUCUCAGUCCGGAUUGGAGUCUGCAACUCGACUCCAUGAAGUUGGAAUCGCUAGUAAUCGUGGAUCAGCAUGCCACGGUGAAUACGUUCCCGGGCCUU
This 430-nucleotide ribosomal RNA is filed under the name uncultured Desulfobulbus sp. RNAcentral describes it as "bacterial SSU rRNA". It matches the Rfam family "Bacterial small subunit ribosomal RNA", at positions 952 to 1382 of the family's 1533-position model. The record is from RNAcentral. Lineage: Bacteria; Pseudomonadati; Thermodesulfobacteriota; Desulfobulbia; Desulfobulbales; Desulfobulbaceae.